Molecule: long non-coding RNA, 2265 nt
Organism: Talpa occidentalis (Iberian mole)
Lineage: Eukaryota; Metazoa; Chordata; Mammalia; Eulipotyphla; Talpidae
Exons: 6
Source: RefSeq, a predicted model, not a curated record
GGAUGUGAGGCCUGUGGCAUUGAAGCAUUCAUAGCCAACAGCCAGCACCUGAAUGGAGCCUCCAUCUGAUUACCUCAGGGAACUGAAUUCUGCCAACAGUCACCUGUGCUUUUGAAAGUUCUGCACCUUAGAAAGGGGUUGGACCCACGUGCCACUUGGUUGCAACCUUGUGAAACUCGGAGCACAGAACCCAGCUCAGCUGGGCCCACACUUCGGAACUGUGGAAGCUGGGAGGUAACAAAUAGGGAUUUUAAAGUGCUCUUGUGUUAACCGGUUACACCGCCAUGGAAAACAAAACUCCAGGCCAUCUGAACCUAUAGCCGUGCCCUGGCUACAGCCGCUGCCUUCUGAGUCCUCCCCUUUGGUGGAUAAAGUGAGGAGCGCCUGCCGGACGAUGAAUUCUGCUAGUGAUUGUUGAGGGCCCUGGAUUAGGCAGCAGGUUUCCAAGAUGAUGAGGACUAGACAGCAUCGCUCAGGGGCUCGCUAUAGGGUGGGGCAGCAAACAAGGGGCAGGUGCGGAGUCCGUGCGCAUGCCUCCUGGCCCUGUGGGCAUGGGGCUGUGAGGUUGCCUUCAGAGCCGCCUCUGAGGGAAAGCAGACUCUGGAGCUUGGGCGACUGAGUGGGAGGCCGUGGCUGGCAAGUGGGAUGUGCUUCUGUGAAAGGCACCAAGACCUAACUGCAUGCGGAGUAAAACCAAGCAGAGUCGGGAGUUUGCUCCAAGGGCUUCCAUCUGCGCAUGGGAGACUCCCGAGAGGCCCUGGGUGCCUUGUUAUCACUCAGACUACGGUUCUCUGUGGUCAGUGCCCACGUCAUGGGCUUUUUCAGCAGAACAGUUGCCUGGUGGUUUUCUUCCUCCUCUGGAUCAUGGUACCUGAGUCAGAGGAGCAAGGACGUCUGGAAAUGGCGGGAAUGCACUUGGCACCUGGGGACUGGCGUUCUCUGCAGGUUGCUGAGAAGAGAGAAGUGCUGCACAUUCCCGUGAUGUAUGUAAGUGCAUGUAGGUUCUCACCAAGCAGAUCUCAAGUGCUCCGUCGCCAUGUGAGGCUAUUGGCUACCACGUGGGAAGCGCAGUACUGCCUGCAUCUUGAGGACGACAUGGAGCUGAGUCCAGAGACACGCAGGACUUCAUUUGAUUCCAGUGAGUCCCAGUGAGACCAUCUCUACCAGUUAUCCUGAUACUUCUGCACACAUGGGACAGAUGAUACCUUCCUGUUCCAAACCACCUCCAACUCUUCAGCUCGUCUUUGAGGGUCUAACAGGGCAACCGGGACAGAGAACGCUGAGAAGGAGAACAGAAGCCAGACGGGCUCACAGCCAGGUCAUACAACCAACUCCGACUGUCUCCUCGCCAAAAGCCUUAGGACAGGACUGGUACAGUGACUUGGCAUCAACAGCAGAUGGCAUUCAAGCCUCAUGGGACACCCACUGGGCUCAGAGGGGACCUGGGAAAGAGAGAGAUUUUUGAGACCUACCUCCAGCUCAAAAAGCAUCGCACUCGUUAAAGCACCUUGCACCGCACUGAGUACCUCCUCCACUCUCCGCUAGGACCUGUGCCUCGGCCCUCCCCAGACUCAUCAGUGAUGAAUGGCUCUGAAACAUAAUUGCAAGCACAGCUCCAUCGAGGACCACCUUACAGGCCAGCGCUGUGGACGGCACAAUGCCUGCAUAGUCCGGGGGGACACAGGUGCUCCCGGAUUUCCCAGCUGCAGACCAAAGAAGGUGGGUCAACAUCUGUGGGGUCCAGCGGCCCCCCCCCGACCUGCAGUGUGCACAUGGCCAGCUGGUGGCUGUGAGACAGGUGACCUGGGGCAGCUCAGCUUGUGUGUCAUCCACCAAUACUAAGCCAGCAGUGGCCACAAUUCCUCUCAAGAGCUGCCACACAUUAAGCACCUACUGUUGCCAAGAACCGGGCUGGCAUUAUACUCUUAUUUCAAUAAUUUAAUCCUGGUGCUAACUUGUCAUUAUUAUUUCUGUCUCACCAAUGUGGAAACAGAAGCAUGGGGGGCGGGGGGACUACGUGCCUUUUUUUUUGGCUGCUACUAAGUGCUUAGGAUAUGACAGAUGCCACACACACAAACGCGAUCUCACUCAAUCAUUGCACUAACUCUCGCUGAAGUAGGGGGUUUGCUUGUAUCCAUCCACCAGGCGGUGGAAGAACAGGUUAGAGAACAUGUCGAAGGUCUAGUGAAUUAAGGGCAUUGCUGAGAGUUGGGUUCAGGUCACAGAUGCAGUUUUCUCUGUGCUGCCAUGGUCUGCAGAGAGGCC